This 260-nucleotide ribosomal RNA is filed under the name Escherichia coli. RNAcentral's name for it is "partial 23S ribosomal RNA". It matches the Rfam family "Bacterial large subunit ribosomal RNA", at positions 1291 to 1554 of the family's 2925-position model. Lineage: Bacteria; Pseudomonadati; Pseudomonadota; Gammaproteobacteria; Enterobacterales; Enterobacteriaceae. The record is from RNAcentral.
CGAAUGCUGACAUAAGUAACGAUAAAGCGGGUGAAAAGCCCGCUCGCCGGAAGACCAAGGGUUCCUGUCCAACGUUAAUCGGGGCAGGGUGAGUCGACCCCUAAGGCGAGGCCGAAAGGCGUAGUCGAUGGGAAACAGGUUAAUAUUCCUGUACUUGGUGUUACUGCGAAGGGGGGACGGAGAAGGCUAUGUUGGCCGGGCGACGGUUGUCCCGGUUUAAGCGUGUAGGCUGGUUUUCCAGGCAAAUCCGGAAAAUCAAG